AACCCAUGGUGAGGGCACUCUCUUCGGUACUCCUUGUACCUUUCCCAAGCUUCACCAGGUUGCUGUUUAAAUGAUGAGAUCUUGUUCUUCAGAGC
Molecule: small nucleolar RNA, 95 nt
Filed under: Eutrema salsugineum
Lineage: Eukaryota; Viridiplantae; Streptophyta; Magnoliopsida; Brassicales; Brassicaceae
Description: Plant small nucleolar RNA R71
Rfam family: Plant small nucleolar RNA R71
About the family: R71 is a member of the C/D box family of snoRNAs containing the C (UGAUGA) and D (CUGA) box motifs. Multiple nearly identical copies of this snoRNA have been identified in Arabidopsis, and it is thought to function as a 2'-O-ribose methylation guide for 18S ribosomal RNA.
Source: Rfam by way of RNAcentral